Long non-coding RNA from Triticum aestivum (bread wheat), 2488 nucleotides. RefSeq lists it as uncharacterized. The transcript has 2 exons. NCBI's taxonomy places the organism in Eukaryota, Viridiplantae, Streptophyta, Magnoliopsida, Poales, Poaceae. The record is from RefSeq and is a predicted model, not a curated record.
CCCAUCUUAUCCCUUUCUCCCACGCCACACUCCCACCUAAACCUAGGUCAUCUACCGCCGCCGCCGCUGCCCCUUACCUGCCUGCCGAUUUGCUCGCGCCGCCUCCUCUCCCAUCACCGGUGGCGCCUCCAGAAGCUUCCUUCUACCACGUCGUUCUUCCCCACGGUCCAAGCCCAACGUGCCGCCUCAUGUCUGCAGUAGUGGCGCCCCUCCUCCGCCCGCAGCAAGGAGUCAAGUCGGCCGCCGCAGAGGAGCCGCGCCACCAACCGCCUGCAUGGAGUCGACCGCCGCUGAGUAGCCCCGCCGUACUUCCUCAAGAUCUAGGCCGUUGUAGGUAAGAUUCAUGCCGAUGUGCUCACGGCUCUGCUUCUGUGACUACCGGCAGUGCCACCUGAAGGUUCGAUCCAACCUAGGGUGACGCCUUCCGCAACCGAGGAGCCACCCAGCCCUCUACAUCUAGAGGUUCCGCCCCACCAUCCCACUUCCAUCAUUGGCAAUGGCUCCCCUCUCCCCUUUCUGCUUAAUAGGUUAUUUCUCGUUUCUCCAUGAAUGUGAUUGCCCAUGAAUCUUGUUGGCUCAACGAUGAACUGAGCAAGAUGAUGUCAGUUCGUUUGAGAUUGGAGAUUUCAGAGUGCUAACCAUCCAUCACUCAUUUUAUAAUUAGGGUAAAUUAAGUUUUUAGUUGAUUUCAGGACAGAUUGAAGUAUAUAUAUUUUACUAACCGGUGUUACAUACUAUCUUAUUAUAUGUUUCUGUAAUUUUCGAGUCCUGUCUACAUUGUUUAUUCACUUAGCUAUGUUGCAACUCUUCAUUCUCAAUUAGUACCAUCAUGUUAUUAUAAUGUUGUUUCUGUUGUUGUUGAUUUGGGAUGUAUUCUGCAACAUGUUGUUUCAGAGAAUGGUUUCUAUAAGACUGCCCGACAAUUAGUAGAUUUGUGCGCCAUGCCUUGGCCUGGGUGUUUCGUGGAUUCAGCGAGAUGCAUUAUAUUUCACUUGCUCUUCCGUGGGUGACGUGCCUAUCUAGAAACAUGCUACUGGUUUUAGUUCAGGCUAGCUUCCUUCUCAUAAGUAGAACUUUGCAAUUGAUCUCAACUUUAAUGAGGUUUGACUAUUGCUGGGGAUGUUCUGAAGCUCAUGGACUCUAUGCUUGUAGCUGAGCUCAACCUCUCAGGCCUGUCUCUUAUCACAUUUAUAUCCAGCAUUCAAUCUCAGGGUUUCAGUAUUUACUAAUUACUACUACCUUUGAAAUGAUUGGGUCUCAGUCUUCCUAUUUCCCUUUGCAUGAAGAACCAGCAAGAUUAGCACUCUUGAUGCUAAGAAUUCACCUAAGAUGGCUGGAACACUACGCGGACCGGUUCGGCAUGCCAAGACUGGCAAGGGUGAUGUUGCGCUAGUUUCCUUCAUUUAGAAGAACAAUGACUUGUCUUCUGCUUUCCUACCAAGAACACAAAAUGCGCCACAUAUCACGAACUGGAUCCAGUCCCAAAGAAGUACAUGUCACUAGACUAAAAUGAGUGGUUCUCUCUACGACUAUACUAGGAAUUGUGAUUCAAUUACGUACUGAAAAGUAACAUGCAUCUAGUUAAUUGCAUUAUGCAUUAUAAGCACAUGAAUCAGAUGGCUGCGUAAUUAUAUUAGCAUACAGUGUUCUCUAUCAACAAUUAGAUCAGUAAUAGAAAAAAAGAGUGUUCAUUCAUUGUUUUCAGACAAAAUGUUUAUACCAUGGUUGGUAAUGGUAAGGUUCCUUUGUUACUUCUCAAAGCAACCACACCUUUUGUAGCUAAGUGUACUAAUCAACCGAGCCAAAGGUGAAUUUUAUACAAAUUAAUUAAUUGUUAGUAUGUGAAACCUAUAGCAGCUAAAUUCUGCUUAUGCUAAUAGUCAAUACGGCACUUUGAUAUUGAUGCUGCAUGCCUGCUGCCAAUUUGAUUCUGCAUUCAGUACUAUGUGAGUGAACUAAGAAAGUGUUAUUUCUUUUCAGGCUAGUAAAGCAUCAUUGUGCACUUCUGGAACAACUAUCAUGGAAGUAUGGAACUAAUGCUAGCAAAACUACCCUGUGUAGUCGCCUGAGGAAAAAGCUGAAUUUUAUUUCCCUGCCCAACAUUCUUUUGGAAUAUCCUUCGUGCCAUGUUUUUUCGAGCCAGACUACAUCCUGUUGGGCAGGGAAAUAAAAUUGUACGCCGACACACAGAUAAAGAUCUAGCCACAAAGAUAAGGGCAAAUGGCAGAAAAUAGCAUGGUUGACACCUUUUGUUCAUACAGAGGUUGAUGUUGGUUUGGUGAUUGAAGAGUUGGUCUCUUCCAUAAUAUUUUGUAGUGGUCAAGUGAUCAGACAUUUGGUCUGUUAGGAUCUUAGCCAUCAAAUUUUGCAACUUGUCUCUGUAUGUCAAUUUAUGUAUCUCCUUGAUGGUUGUAGCUAACUUGAGCGAAGAAAACAAAUGAAUCUUUAUAUAUGUUAAUGUAUGAUAUGGAUGAAUGACAUUUUUCUA